GCCCAACCACCAGCCCCGUCCCUCCUAUUGCAAAUGAAGUGUUCCUAGUCACCUUUGGAGAGGUUUCUAUCAGCAUUUUAGAUAGAAUUUCUCUUUAAAGCUCUAUGUCCUGGUUUUGUUAGUAAUGCAUGAAAAUGUCAAGGAUUCAUGGAAUUUUUAUCCUUGGUUACUUUUUGGAAUGUAAUUGUAUCCGUUACCUUUGAAUCCAUUGGCUCAGGUUCUCUAAGUAAAUCAUCCACUGCAAACUCCUUGAGGUAGGGACUGGUUUUUUUUUUUUCUCUCAUCAGUAACCUCAUCACUUAGCACAGAGCCUAGUAUACAGUAGGUAUACCCUGCUUAGUCUUUAGAAUUCUAGCAACCAGGAAUGCAUACACCCCCGCUUAAGGAUUAACUGUGAGAAGCAUGGCCUAUGACUGGCAUUUGCUAGCAAGUGACAAAUCAGGAACAACUGACUGACCCCCUGGGCUGUCCAAAGCCAAGAUUAAGGCACCAUUAGUACAUGUGAGACACAGGAAGUGACAUAAAGAAAGGCCUUUAUAUUUUGUGUCACUUCCUGUGAGAGGGGCUUUUGUGGACUUUGGUGGUGGAACGUGGCUUGAUGGAGCUCUAGCAUGGGACCUCCAUCUUCUUCCCUGAACAACCAUGUGGCUAUCCAGAUUUAAAUACAGCAGUAAGCCGGAGGAGCAACAUGACAAUGGUGGUCCACACUGCUUAUAUGAUUUCAAAAAUAUUAUUCAGCUGAGGCUCUUUUAUGCAGGAGAAAGAACAAGGAAGGAGAGUUGCAUACUGGGAGCUAAGAUGAUGAGUAAAGGAUGCUCGACUCCCUCAAUCCCCCCCCACUCCCACACCCAAAAGGAAAUAAAUUACUUCAAAACAAAGGAAAACUGGAGGAUCCUGCCUUACUCAGAUGAGAAGACAUAUUUCAAAAAGCAAAGAACCCAGAUCUACAACCUAGAAUUACGCUCCCAACAAAACUGAGCAUAAUCUUGUAGAGGAAAAAAAUGACAUUCAAUUAGAUAGAGGAAUUUCAGAAAUUUCUGACAAAAACCAGAGCUAAAAAGAAAAUUUUAUGAGCAAUUUUGACAUUCAAUAAAAGUUAAAUUAAAACUUAAG
RNAcentral lists this long non-coding RNA (1113 nucleotides) under Monodelphis domestica (gray short-tailed opossum). RNAcentral's name for it is "lncRNA (ENSMODG00000045436.1)". Lineage: Eukaryota; Metazoa; Chordata; Mammalia; Didelphimorphia; Didelphidae. The record is from RNAcentral.